CCAGACUCCUACGGGAGGCAGCAGUAGGGAAUCUUCGGCAAUGGACGAAAGUCUGACCGAGCAACGCCGCGUGGGUGAAGAAGGUUUUCGGAUCGUAAAGCUCUGUUGUAAGAGAAGAACGGGUGUGAGAGUGGAAAGUUCACACUGUGACGGUAUCUUACCAGAAAGGGACGGCUAACUACGUGCCAGCAGCCGCGGUAAUACGUAGGUCCCGAGCGUUGUCCGGAUUUAUUGGGCGUAAAGCGAGCGCAGGCGGUUAGAUAAGUCUGAAGUUAAAGGCUGUGGCUUAACCAUAGUACGCUCUGGAAACUGUUUAACUUGAGUGCAGAAGGGGAGAGUGGAAUUCCAUGUGUAGCGGUGAAAUGCGUAGAUAUAUGGAGGAACACCGGUGGCGAAAGCGGCUCUCUGGUCUGUAACUGACGCUGAGGCUCGAAAGCGUGGGGAGCGAACAGGAUUAGAUACCCUGGUAGUCCACGCCGUAAACGAUGAGUGCUAGGUGUUAGGCCCUUUCCGGGGCUUAGUGCCGCAGCUAACGCAUUAAGCACUCCGCCUGGGGAGUACGACCGCAAGGUUGAAACUCAAAGGAAUUGACGGGGGCCCGCACAAG
This 607-nucleotide ribosomal RNA is filed under the name uncultured bacterium. RNAcentral's name for it is "bacterial SSU rRNA". It matches the Rfam family "Bacterial small subunit ribosomal RNA", at positions 331 to 929 of the family's 1533-position model. The record is from RNAcentral.